RNAcentral lists this unclassified non-coding RNA (337 nucleotides) under soil metagenome. RNAcentral describes it as "partial contains 5.8S ribosomal RNA, internal transcribed spacer 2, and large subunit ribosomal RNA". The stretch from base 1 to 120 matches the Rfam family "5.8S ribosomal RNA", at positions 35 to 154 of the family's 154-position model. The record is from RNAcentral.
GAUGAAGAACGCAGUGAAAUGCGAUAAGUAGCGUGAAUUGCAGAAUUCAGUGAAUCAUCGAAUCUUUGAACGCACAUUGCGCCCCUUGGUAUUCCAUGGGGCAUGCCUGUUCGAGCGUCAUUUGUACCUUCAAGCUCUGCUUGGUGUUGGGUGUUUGUCUCGCCUCUGCGUGUAGACUCGCCUCAAAACAAUUGGCAGCCGGCGUAUUGAUUUCGGAGCGCAGUACAUCUCGCGCUUUGCACUCAUAACGACGACGUCCAAAAGUACAUUUUUACACUCUUGACCUCGGAUCAGGUAGGGAUACCCGCUGAACUUAAGCAUAUCAAUAAGCGGAGGA